GUAGGUGGCAAGCGUUGUCCGGAAUUAUUGGGCGUAAAGCGCGCGCAGGCGGUCCCUUAAGUCUGAUGUGAAAGCCCACGGCUCAACCGUGGAGGGUCAUUGGAAACUGGGGGACUUGAGUACAGAAGAGGAAAGCGGAAUUCCAAGUGUAGCGGUGAAAUGCGUAGAGAUUUGGAGGAACACCAGUGGCGAAGGCGGCUUUCUGGUCUGUAACUGACGCUGAGGCGCGAAAGCGUGGGGAGCAAACAGGGAUUAGAUACCCUGGUAGUCCACGCCGUAAACGAUGAGUGCUAAGUGUUAGGGGGUUUCCCGCCCCUUAGUGCUGCAGCUAACGCAUUAAGCACUCCGCCUGGGGAGUACGGCCGCAAGGCUG
This 373-nucleotide ribosomal RNA is filed under the name uncultured organism. RNAcentral describes it as "partial 16S ribosomal RNA". It matches the Rfam family "Bacterial small subunit ribosomal RNA", at positions 527 to 896 of the family's 1533-position model. The record is from RNAcentral.